GAUACAAAUAGAUCAAUGGAUGAGAUUUUCUUGUUUUCUUUUUUCUUUUUCUUUUUUUCUCUAUCUCUCUUUCUCGCUCUUAUCUUCACAGAUCUUUUUUUUAGAUCUCUCCACCUUCGACAAAUCUCUUUUAUUUUACAGAUCUCUUUUUCUUAAUCAUCUCAUACACACACAUCACUGUCUUACUCUCCUAACCUCACUCACACACGAUUCAUCUCACAGACAUCUCUCUGUUUCACUCUCAUAAUCUCUCUGUCUCACGCACGACACAUCCCCAACCAUCUUCUUCAGAAAGCGACGGUGGAGGCGCCAAAACAAUGGUGGAAGCUGCGGCAGACUCGUCUCUGGUCAAGCACUGCGUUGGCUUCACCUCCUCACCACCACCGCAGAUUUAUUAAGGAGCAAGGGAAGGAGAAGCAGUGGUGUGACAUAGCGGCGUUUCCGGAUCAAGCGUGGUGCGGCGGUGAGGUGGUGGUCGUGCGGUGGAGAUGCGAGCAUCAUGGUCGGCGGAGACUGAAGAAGAAUGUAGUUUGGUGGCCGUAUUAGGUUUAGUUAGGGUUAAUUAGUUAACCAAUUUGUAAUUCUAAACCAAUUUGUAAUUGUACCAUUUUGUAAUUGUAAACCAUGUAAACCAAAA
Molecule: long non-coding RNA, 637 nt
Organism: Brassica napus (rape)
Lineage: Eukaryota; Viridiplantae; Streptophyta; Magnoliopsida; Brassicales; Brassicaceae
Exons: 2
Source: RefSeq, a predicted model, not a curated record